GCGGAUCAUUGUGCGGUCGCAGGCCGGGCUCGCCCAUCCCGGUGCGCCGGAGCCCCCGGGCUGGGCCAGUGUGCCGAGCCAGAGCCCGUGUGCGCUCGGGCACGCACACACGCACGCACACUCACGUGCUUCCGCUCACGCGGGGCUCGGGGCCAAGGAGUCCUUGAAAAGGUCACAGGUGUGGUGAGCCCCGCGCCGAGGGCUCAGGGGCUUUCUUUGCUGGCACAGAGGUCGACUUCAGAAAGAAGGGGCUUUGGAGUGACAAGCUCCGUAUCUUGUAAUGGAAAGAACGAGUGAUAGUUGUUCAAAGCCAUCAGUUCAUAAGAAGAGGUGAAGCCUGAGGAACUCGGCCCCUGAUCCCCUCAGGGGAAGGCUCACACUGGGCCAGAUAGAAACACCUGGUCCCCUGUACUUCAUCUCAGCAGGCUGAACAGACAAGAAAGUACCUGCCUAUUUCUGAGCCAUGAGGAUAAAGAGGAAAAUGUUAAAGGUCCAGGCAAUUACGUCAACUUAUCUGAAAAGAGAGAAGAAUCAGGUUCGGAUCUCACGGGUUGUGGGAUUGAGCCCCACAUGGGCUCCGCGCUCACCAGGGAGUCUGCUUCAGAUUCUCUCCUUCUACCCUUCCCCACACUUGCACUCUCUGUCUCUCUCUCUCUAACACAGA
Long non-coding RNA from Ailuropoda melanoleuca (giant panda), 664 nucleotides. RefSeq lists it as uncharacterized. Lineage: Eukaryota; Metazoa; Chordata; Mammalia; Carnivora; Ursidae. The transcript has 4 exons. The record is from RefSeq and is a predicted model, not a curated record.